This 263-nucleotide long non-coding RNA is filed under the name Cyanistes caeruleus (blue tit). RNAcentral's name for it is "lncRNA (ENSCCEG00000020142.1)". The record is from RNAcentral. Lineage: Eukaryota; Metazoa; Chordata; Aves; Passeriformes; Paridae.
GAGAUGGCCAGCAUAUCCUCUGUGAAGAAUCUGCAGUGCUGAAACUCAUUCUUGCCUUCCAAAUUGGAAGAAAGUGGAUUAUUGGAAGCUAAUCUCAGGUUUAUUACUGGAUGCUGUGGAAUUAACACACGGGAGGCCUAUCUCUUUGCACCUGGGUGGGAUAAUGGCAGAAACUUCAGGUAUACUACCAAAUAUGUGUAAUAUUCUUUCUGACAGAGACAACAUAUGACAAUAAAUUCUUUAAGAGAAAUUUGAAUUUUCCA